This 403-nucleotide ribosomal RNA is filed under the name uncultured bacterium. Its description in RNAcentral is "partial 16S ribosomal RNA". It matches the Rfam family "Bacterial small subunit ribosomal RNA", at positions 28 to 526 of the family's 1533-position model. The record is from RNAcentral.
GACGAACGCUGGCGGCGUGCCUAAUACAUGCAAGUCGAACGCAGUGGGGACGGGUGAGUAACACGUGGGUAACCUCCCAUCAGAGGGGAUAACACUUGGAAACAGGUGCUAAACCGAUACUGAUGGAUGGACCCGCGGUGCAUUAGCUAGUUGGUGAGGUAACGGCUCACCAAGGCCACGAUGCAUAGCCUGCCGGAGAGGGUGAUCGGCAAGACGGGGACUGGGACACGGCACAACCUCCGACGGGCGGCAGGAGUAGGGAAUUGUCGGCAAUGGACGAAAGUCUGACCGAUUAACGCCGCGUGAGUGAAGAAGGUUUGCGGAUAGUAAAACUCUGUUGUUAGGGAAGCGGUAUCUAACCAGAAAGCCACGGCUAACUACGUGCCAGCAGCCGCGGUAAUAC